CUAACAGGUACCCGAUAGGCCUAUUUACAAAGGAAACUCUAGCAAAUUUUUUGGAAAUUCUAAUAGCUAGUCAAUUGCCUUUUGGAUAGCGGAAGUUGGUGGUUGGAAAGAUAAAAGCUAUACUCCCGCAAGUAGUGUCAUUUGGGAACCUGCAUACCAUCGUAGCUAGCAAGCACUAAGGCUUCGAUCCUCCUGAUAGCAGACGUCCACGUUAGGCUCUUUUGUCAUUCCCAGCUGGUAGUUUGGUGAGCUCCAACUCUCUCUGGAGCCAGUUUAUGCCUACUAUUUUUUAUUGUGUACAGAUCUCUGGUUAGGCAUGACGGGCUUAAUGUCAACUAGUCAUUUGUAGUAUAGUGUAUUAAACUGACUAGAGGCUUCACUGACAUCGUGUAGUAUUGUAUAGUUUUAUUAAUGUAGCUC
Capsicum annuum is the source of this 420-nucleotide long non-coding RNA. RefSeq lists it as uncharacterized. The transcript is spliced from 3 exons. The record is from RefSeq and is a predicted model, not a curated record. Lineage: Eukaryota; Viridiplantae; Streptophyta; Magnoliopsida; Solanales; Solanaceae.